This 200-nucleotide unclassified non-coding RNA is filed under the name uncultured Preussia. RNAcentral's name for it is "sequence contains ITS2". The record is from RNAcentral. Lineage: Eukaryota; Fungi; Ascomycota; Dothideomycetes; Pleosporales; Sporormiaceae.
UUAAGUUCAGCGGGUAUCCCUACCUGAUCCGAGGUCAAAAUGUUAAAUAGCUUGUGGAGGGCCGAUCCGGAGUCCUCGAGUUCGCGUUUCUGCUGCGCUCGAAGCCAACGUACCGGCCGCCAAUACAUUUGAGGCGCACACCCCCGCGGAGGGAGGCGUGACAGGCCCAACACCAAGCAGAGCUUGAAGGUUUAAAUGAC